UGAGGUGGUCUGGCUGCAGCAUCUGUCACUCCACAGAUCACCAGGGACAGUUCAGCUGAUCUGGCUGGCUAGGUAGGGGUCCUCUUCCUCCAUUCCAUGUGUGCAUCCCCACAGAAGCAACAUACUUGGUUAAAGGGAUGAGCUUCCUCAAGAGGACUGGUCAGUCAAGGGUGAGGGGUGAGUGAGUAGCUUCAGUCGGCAGGCAGAUCUCUUUAAGGCCAGCCUGGUCUACAAGAGCUAGUUUCCAGGACAGGCUCCAAAGCUACAGAGAAACCGUCUUGAAAAACCAAAAAAGAAAAAGAAACCAAAAUACCUUCAGAUGAAAGGUGGCUUU
This 334-nucleotide small nuclear RNA is filed under the name Microtus ochrogaster (prairie vole). Its description in RNAcentral is "7SK RNA (ENSMOCG00000006366.1)". It matches the Rfam family "7SK RNA". From Rfam's summary of the family: 7SK was discovered as an abundant small nuclear RNA in the mid-70s but a possible function has only recently been suggested. Two independent studies have found that 7SK RNA binds the CDK9/cyclin T complex (known as elongation factor P-TEFb). P-TEFb activates transcription by phosphorylating the C-terminal domain of RNA polymerase II. Lineage: Eukaryota; Metazoa; Chordata; Mammalia; Rodentia; Cricetidae. The record is from RNAcentral.